GUGAUGCUGCAAGACACACAGACAGGCACCGAGUGCAGGAUAUCUGCUGGCCUGAAGGACUGCAUCCAGAAGCGGGGCAGGCUGUUGCAUCUUCAUCAAGCUCUAGAUGAGUGCAAGACAGGAGAGGAUAGGGUGCAGUUUUUGGAGAAGCUGAUUCUCAAAAAGAGUUUUAGCUCCAGCUGUCCCUCCUGAAACACCACCUGUCAGGACCUGUCUAAAGCGGAGAGACAAAUGAGGAGGACGCGGACAACAACAAC
This is a long non-coding RNA of Pygocentrus nattereri (red-bellied piranha), 257 nucleotides long. RefSeq lists it as uncharacterized. NCBI's taxonomy places the organism in Eukaryota, Metazoa, Chordata, Actinopteri, Characiformes, Serrasalmidae. The transcript has 3 exons. The record is from RefSeq and is a predicted model, not a curated record.